Molecule: unclassified non-coding RNA, 305 nt
Filed under: plant metagenome
Description: partial contains 5.8S ribosomal RNA, internal transcribed spacer 2, and large subunit ribosomal RNA
Rfam family: 5.8S ribosomal RNA (bases 1-105)
Source: RNAcentral
GAAAUGCGAUAAGUAGUGUGAAUUGCAGAAUUCAGUGAAUCAUCGAAUCUUUGAACGCACAUUGCGCCCUUUGGUAUUCCUUAGGGCAUGCCUGUUCGAGCGUCAUCUAAACCUUCAAGCCCUGCUUGGUGUUGGGUGCCUGUCCCGCCUCCGCGCGCGGACUCACCUCAAAUCCAUUGGCGGCCCCCGCGUCGGCCACGAGCGCAGCAGAAACGCGAACUCGUGAGCCCGUCCGGGCGGCUCCCAGAAGCUACACCCACCCAGUUUGACCUCGGAUCAGGUAGGGAUACCCGCUGAACAUAAGC